GCAUCGGUGGUUCAGUGGUAGAAUGCUCGCCUUCCGCCCGGCCCGGGCUCCGGCCCGGGUUGGAUUCCCGGCCGAUGCA
RNAcentral lists this transfer RNA (79 nucleotides) under Heliconius melpomene (postman butterfly). Its description in RNAcentral is "tRNA HMEL003405". It matches the Rfam family "tRNA". From Rfam's summary of the family: Transfer RNA (tRNA) molecules are approximately 80 nucleotides in length. Their secondary structure includes four short double-helical elements and three loops (D, anti-codon, and T loops). Further hydrogen bonds mediate the characteristic L-shaped molecular structure. tRNAs have two regions of fundamental functional importance: the anti-codon, which is responsible for specific mRNA codon recognition, and the 3' end, to which the tRNAs corresponding amino acid is attached (by aminoacyl-tRNA synthetases). tRNAs cope with the degeneracy of the genetic code in two manners: having more than one tRNA (with a specific anti-codon) for a particular amino acid; and 'wobble' base-pairing, i.e. permitting non-standard base-pairing at the 3rd anti-codon position. The record is from RNAcentral. Lineage: Eukaryota; Metazoa; Arthropoda; Insecta; Lepidoptera; Nymphalidae.